RNAcentral lists this ribosomal RNA (245 nucleotides) under uncultured Eubacteriales bacterium. RNAcentral describes it as "uncultured Clostridiales bacterium partial 16S ribosomal RNA". It matches the Rfam family "Bacterial small subunit ribosomal RNA", at positions 524 to 769 of the family's 1533-position model. The record is from RNAcentral. Lineage: Bacteria; Bacillati; Bacillota; Clostridia; Eubacteriales.
UACGUAGGGGGCGAGCGUUAUCCGGAUUUAUUGGGCGUAAAGCGUGCGCAGGCGGCUUAUUAAGUUUAAGAUUAAAGCCCGGGGCUUAACUCCGGUUCGUCUUAAAAACUGGUAGGCUUGAGUGCGGUAGAGGUAAAUGGAAUUUCUAGUGUAGCGGUGAAAUGCGUAGAUAUUAGAAGGAACACCAGUGGCGAAGGCGAUUUACUGGGCCGUAACUGACGCUCAAGCACGAAAGCGUGGGUAGC